RNAcentral lists this ribosomal RNA (163 nucleotides) under Laportea cuspidata. RNAcentral describes it as "5.8S ribosomal RNA". It matches the Rfam family "5.8S ribosomal RNA". Rfam says of the family: 5.8S ribosomal RNA (5.8S rRNA) is a component of the large subunit of the eukaryotic ribosome. It is transcribed by RNA polymerase I as part of the 45S precursor that also contains 18S and 28S rRNA. RNAcentral also lists the same sequence under 2 other names. Lineage: Eukaryota; Viridiplantae; Streptophyta; Magnoliopsida; Rosales; Urticaceae. The record is from RNAcentral.
UAACGACUCUCGGCAACGGAUAUCUCGGCUCUCGCAUCGAUGAAGAACGUAGCGAAAUGCGAUACGUGGUGUGAAUUGCAGGAUCCCGUGAACCAUCGAGUUUUUGAACGCAAGUUGCGCCCGAAGCCGUUAGGCCGAGGGCACGUCUGCCUGGGCGUCACGC